Molecule: ribosomal RNA, 253 nt
Filed under: uncultured bacterium
Lineage: Bacteria
Description: partial 16S ribosomal RNA
Rfam family: Bacterial small subunit ribosomal RNA
Source: RNAcentral
AACGUAGGAGACAAACGUUAUCCGGAGUUACUGGGCGUAAAGAGCGCGCAGGCGGUCGUUCAAGUCGAGUGUGAAAGUCCCCGGCUCAACUGGGGAGGGUCAUUCGAUACUGAUCGACUCGAAGGCAGGAGAGGGUAGUGGAAUUCCCGGUGUAGUGGUGAAAUGCGUAGAUAUCGGGAGGAACACCAGUGGCGAAGGCGACUACCUGGCCUGUUCUUGACGCUGAGGCGCGAAAGCUAGGGGAGCAAACGGG